CGAGCACACGUGGAACAUGGGAACAGCACAGUGCCCCUCGCUGAGGUGAUGGUGAAAUGCAUGGCGAGCAUGGUGCCCGGUGCCCAGGGCACUGUCCCUGCUAUUAUCUGGGGUACUAGAGGGGAAACUGAGGCAUGCAGAAAUGAAAAGCAUUAUGCGAGGCAGCCAAGAGGAUCAAGAACUCAACUCAGGAAGCGCCUGGGCUCGAGGUCCCAGCGGCAGAGGCCUGGGCGGGCCAGCAGAUGUCCGUGCUCCCUUGGGGGACACUCUCCGGGCAGCAUUUCUGCAAAGGGUUACGAGCAGCGACAGCAGCGAAGGAAAAGGGUCCCAGCGUCUUGUGGAGAGGCCCUGAUGUCCAGUCCACCACGAGAAACAGUUCUCCUUCUUGGGGACAACUGUACAAAGUGUAAAAGAAAACGCGAAGCCGACUUGGCAGACUCCGGCGUGUUCUGUCUCCCUCGCUGGCUCGCACAUCCGUCCGCACUCGCACGUUCCGUCUCCGCCGGCGACAGGA
Molecule: long non-coding RNA, 514 nt
Organism: Molossus molossus (Pallas's mastiff bat)
Lineage: Eukaryota; Metazoa; Chordata; Mammalia; Chiroptera; Molossidae
Exons: 3
Source: RefSeq, a predicted model, not a curated record